GAUUGAUUAAAACCAUUUCAUGACUUUCUGUUGUUAUGCAACAUCUGAAUGCCAUUCUCCUUGGAUGGGGAACUGUCAUCAUGAAUGGUCGAGGAGGUAGUGUCCACAUUUCACCGAGGAAGCCAAAGUGGCCAGGCUGUGGGCAUGCUACUCAGGCAAAGCCAAAUCAGGAAAGAUCUCCCAGGAAUUUGGAUCCUGAACAAAGGCAGCGGUGCUGUGGAGGUGUCUGGAAGCCCUGGUCCCUGCAGUGGCUGCUCUGUGAGCUGACAUAGAACUCCGAUAGUUGGGAGAAGAGAUGAAGAUCCAGGCACAUAUUUUGAUUUACCCUGUAAUGAAUGGGUUCUUGUGUUAGGAGGACUUCAUGCCAUUCUCUGGUCCAAUCAGAACCAGAACUCCAGGGAACCCAGCAGUAGUCAUGUAACAGCUUCUGUCAUAUUCCUUAAGUGUAAACUCCUUCUAUGUCUCCCUCUCCUCCCAUCUCCAUCUGCUAGUUUUGAUUUCUGGCCAACCCUGAGAUAUAAAGUAACUGCCAGUUCCCUUGGUAAGAUCAUACCUUCAGUACAGAAACAAAGUGGGAAUUUCUGAGAUGCAUGUUCUGGCUCAAAUGGUGCUAUUUUCUGGUAAGAAUUAAUUUUGCAUUCAAAAUAUGGAGCUAAUGUGUAUGUUCUUUAUGAGGUGAAGGAAUGCAAAUCAUUCAUAUGGGUUAUUCACUAGGAAUGCACUCAUUCUGUAGCAUCUAUCUCUCAUUUACCUAAUUUAUUUUUCUAGCCAUUCAGUUUGUGUAUUAACCUUCAAUGUCUAAGUGCUCUGCUAGACAUUAGAGUUAUAAAAUAAAUAACACUGUCCUUUAAGUACACAAUUUUUAACUUUAUUUCUGAAACCUUCACUAGUGACUUGUCUGACUUUGGGAAGUCACUGGUGGAUCUCAGUUGCCUACCAUAAACUGAGUGGCUCAUAUUAAGUGAUCGUAUAAUUUGAAACCCUCUAAAAUCAAAGGA
Mustela erminea (ermine) is the source of this 998-nucleotide long non-coding RNA. RefSeq lists it as uncharacterized. The transcript is spliced from 3 exons. NCBI's taxonomy places the organism in Eukaryota, Metazoa, Chordata, Mammalia, Carnivora, Mustelidae. The record is from RefSeq and is a predicted model, not a curated record.